UACAGAGGGGGCAAGCGUUGUUCGGAAUUACUGGGCGUAAAGGGCGCGUAGGCGGCCCGCUAAGUCGAACGUGAAAUCCCCGAGCUCAACUCGGGAACUGCGUCCGAUACUGGCGGGCUUGAAUCCGGGAGAGGGAUGCGGAAUUCCAGGUGUAGCGGUGAAAUGCGUAGAUAUCUGGAGGAACACCGGUGGCGAAGGCGGCAUCCUGGACCGGCAUUGACGCUGAGGCGCGAAAGCCAGGGGAGCAAACGGG
Molecule: ribosomal RNA, 253 nt
Filed under: uncultured bacterium
Lineage: Bacteria
Description: partial 16S ribosomal RNA
Rfam family: Bacterial small subunit ribosomal RNA
Source: RNAcentral